RNAcentral lists this ribosomal RNA (180 nucleotides) under uncultured bacterium. Its description in RNAcentral is "partial 16S ribosomal RNA". It matches the Rfam family "Bacterial small subunit ribosomal RNA", at positions 490 to 669 of the family's 1533-position model. The record is from RNAcentral.
GGGACGGCUAACUCUUUGCCAGGAGGCGCGGGUUUACCGAGGUUCCUGGCGUUGUUCGGCUUCACUGGGGGUAGACGGUGCGUAUGUGGACGGGUAAGUCUUAUGUGAAAUCUCCGAGCUCAACUCGGAAACCGUAUUGAAUACUAUUCAGAUUGGGGUGUGUAGGGGAGACUGGAAUUC